RNAcentral lists this ribosomal RNA (433 nucleotides) under uncultured bacterium. RNAcentral describes it as "bacterial SSU rRNA". It matches the Rfam family "Bacterial small subunit ribosomal RNA", at positions 917 to 1349 of the family's 1533-position model. The record is from RNAcentral.
GGGCCCGCACAAGCGGUGGAGCAUGUGGUUUAAUUCGAUGCAACGCGAAGAACCUUACCUACUCUUGACAUCCAGAGAACUUUCCAGAGAUGGAUUGGUGCCUUCGGGAACUCUGAGACAGGUGCUGCAUGGCUGUCGUCAGCUCGUGUUGUGAAAUGUUGGGUUAAGUCCCGCAACGAGCGCAACCCUUAUCCUUGUUUGCCAGCACGUAAUGGUGGGAACUCCAGGGAGACUGCCGGUGAUAAACCGGAGGAAGGUGGGGACGACGUCAAGUCAUCAUGGCCCUUACGAGUAGGGCUACACACGUGCUACAAUGGCGUAUACAGAGGGCUGCCAACCAGCGAUGGUGAGCGAAUCCCAGAAAGUACGUCGUAGUCCGGAUUGGAGUCUGCAACUCGACUCCAUGAAGUCGGAAUCGCUAGUAAUCGUGAAU